UGGGGGAUCGUCUAGUGGUAGGACAUCACACUUUGGAUGUGAUUACGGAGGUUCGAACCCUCCUCCCCCAGCCA
This 74-nucleotide transfer RNA is filed under the name Nitrospiraceae bacterium. RNAcentral describes it as "tRNA-Gln". It matches the Rfam family "tRNA". Rfam says of the family: Transfer RNA (tRNA) molecules are approximately 80 nucleotides in length. Their secondary structure includes four short double-helical elements and three loops (D, anti-codon, and T loops). RNAcentral also lists the same sequence under 1 other name. Lineage: Bacteria; Pseudomonadati; Nitrospirota; Nitrospiria; Nitrospirales; Nitrospiraceae. The record is from RNAcentral.